RNAcentral lists this long non-coding RNA (208 nucleotides) under Elaeis guineensis (African oil palm). Its description in RNAcentral is "long non-coding RNA (EGUI_LNC067106)". Lineage: Eukaryota; Viridiplantae; Streptophyta; Magnoliopsida; Arecales; Arecaceae. The record is from RNAcentral.
AUGGCCUUUAUAUUUUAUUAGCUAAUUGACUCUAGGAUCAUUGUUAUCCAUGAUUUUAGUAUGAUCUAUGUAUUUUGACUUAAUGUAUUCAGUCACAUUUUGAUAUAUAUAUUUUUUAUGCUUUGAAUUUCAAUGAAUAUCUUUGGAUUAAUGUUUAUGAAUGGGACUAAUUAAAAUAUUUUAACUAUAAGAUAUGAAAAAUGACUCA